Molecule: ribosomal RNA, 497 nt
Filed under: uncultured bacterium
Lineage: Bacteria
Description: partial 16S ribosomal RNA
Rfam family: Bacterial small subunit ribosomal RNA
Source: RNAcentral
GAUGAACGCUGGCGGCGUGCCUAAUACAUGCAAGUCGAGCGAACAGACGAGGAGCUUGCUCCUCUGACGUUAGCGGCGGACGGGUGAGUAACACGUGGAUAACCUACCUAUAAGACUGGGUUAACUUCUGGAAACCGGAGCUAAUACCGGAUAAUAUAUUGAACCGCAUGGUUCAAUAGUGAAAGACGGUUUUGCUGUCACUUAUAGAUGGAUCCGCGCCGCAUUAGCUAGUUGGUAAGGUAACGGCUUACCAAGGCAACGAUGCGUAGCCGACCUGAGAGGGUGAUCGGCCACACUGGAAAUGAGACACGGUCCAGACUCCUACGGGAGGCAGCAGUAGGGAAUCUUACGCAAUGGGCGAAAGCUUGACGGAGCAAAGCCGCGUGAGUGAUGAAGGUAUUCGGAUCGUAAAACUCUGUUAUUAGGGAAGAACAAAUGUGUAAGUAACUAUGCACGUCUUGAAGGUACCUAAUCAGAAAGCCACGGCUAACUACGUG